This 407-nucleotide ribosomal RNA is filed under the name uncultured microorganism. Its description in RNAcentral is "bacterial SSU rRNA". It matches the Rfam family "Bacterial small subunit ribosomal RNA", at positions 509 to 917 of the family's 1533-position model. The record is from RNAcentral.
CAGCAGCCGCGGUAAUACGUAGGGGGCGAGCGUUCCCCGGAUUCACUGGGCGUAAAGCGGGUGUAGGCGGCUCGGUAAGUCGGGUGUGAAAUCCCACAGCUCAACUGUGGAAUUGCGCCCGAAACUGCUGAGCUUGGGGCCGGUAGAGGGAGACGGAACUGCCGGUGUAGGGGUGAAAUCCGUAGAUAUCGGCAGGAACGCCGGUGGGCAAGCCGGUCUCCUGGGCCGCGCCCGACGCUGAGACCCGAAAGCUAGGGGAGCAAACCGGAUUAGAUACCCGGGUAGUCCUAGCCGUAAACGAUGCCCACUAGGUGUGGGGGAUUAAUUCCUCCGUGCUGUAGCUAACGCGUUAAGUGGGCCGCCUGGGGAGUACGCCCGCAAGGGUGAAACUUAAAGGAAUUGGCGGG